RNAcentral lists this ribosomal RNA (406 nucleotides) under uncultured bacterium. RNAcentral's name for it is "partial 16S ribosomal RNA". It matches the Rfam family "Bacterial small subunit ribosomal RNA", at positions 29 to 526 of the family's 1533-position model. The record is from RNAcentral.
AAUGAACGCUGGCGGCAUGCCUAACACAUGCAAGUCGAACGAGUGGCGGACGGGUGAAUAAUGUCUGGGAAACUGCCCGAUGGAGGGGGAUAACUACUGUAAACGGUAGCUAAUACCGCAUACCAUCGGAUGUGCCCAGAUGGGAUUAGCUAGUAGGUGGGGUAAAGGCUCACCUAGGCCACGAGCCCUAGCUGGUCUGAGAGGGUGACCGGCCACACUGGAACUGAGACACGGUCCAGACUCCUACGGGAGGCAGCAGUGGGGAAUAUUGCACAAUGGGCGCAAGCCUGAUGCAGCCAUGCCGCGUGUAUGAAGAAGGCCUUCGGGUUGUAAAGUACUUUCAGCGGGGAGGCGUUACCCACAGAGGAAGCACCGGCUAACUCCGUGCCAGCAGCCGCGGUAAUUC